CUGACUUCCUCUCCAGAGACGGCCCUCUGCUGCUUACCCACCCCGUGCUGCCCAUUCGCAAUCAAGACUAGCUCGCUGUCCUCUGCCCCGUGUCCGGCGCAAAGCGGCAUCGACCUCACCUUGUACACGACGGGCGGCCCUCCCUCUGUAUCCUCACAAGGACGCUGCUCAUCCAAACAUGUACCUCCUCUGGCUAGCUCUCGUCCUGCUGCUCUCUCUUACGAGCCUCUCUCCCUCUCAUCUAUCUAUUAUAUAUCUCUUGCUGGUGACGUAUUUGAUGAAAUGACUCUGAGAAAACUGCAAUUUUCUGGGUUUGCAGUAGAGAGUCUGGCUGCUGCUGGGUUGCAAAUCCUGCCCACCUUGGGGAAUCGCUGACAAAAACAAGCCGUGACGAUGCGCUCUCAUCGGAUUAACGUCGCUCUACCUCCGCGGACAAGACGAUACUGAAGCAGUAGUGCAUCACCGAGUAUGCGCUUGAGGAAAGUCUGGUUUGAGACAUGAUAAAUUCAGAGAAACUAGGCAUCAGGUUCGUGAGUGAUCCACUACCAUGGAGCAAAGGUGAUGUAUUAGGCAUGUGUUCUGUAUUCUAUAUCUGGCCUUCGAGUCCAUCGGCGCCGACGCUGCCGAGUGGUGGACACCCGCGUUUGAGUGUUGCAUCGACGCUACACGCUUCACUUGCCGCAGGGGAGCUCCGCGAGGUCCAGAAUGAAUAUUGCUCCUAUGAUGCAACAGCGAGAGGCAUGGACGUCCGUCCAAAUGGACUCCUUCCUUGACAUGGUGCGCAAGUGCAAGGAGACGGAGAAGUCCAAUUGUCCAUAAGUUUAGUGGGACUGAGUUUUCUUUCUUGAUCGAUCGGCAGCCACGGUUCAGGUCGAUCGAUUCCCAAGGGUCUUGAGGGCAGCAGAGAGAAACUUGAGCGCGCAGAAGAGGAAGAGGAGUCACACGCCGACGCUACAUCGACGGGCAAGGUGGCAGUGGCUACAUCUACAAGUCAACAACCAUCGCCACCAAACGCCUUCUGCCACACUGCACCAACUCGCCUAUGCAUAGACCAGACCCACUUUGACUCCUCGCCCAUUUUAUUUUCACCAUCUUCUCUAUCGCUGGCAUUUUCCCCUGCCAGGUGUAUUUGCACGCUUAAGCAGACCUGGUUUUUUUUUUGCUGAAGGUUCCCUUGUUGAUUAAAUGGACCUGGAAAAUAUGGCUCUUAUUCUUCUUUGAACUA
Lolium perenne is the source of this 1225-nucleotide non-coding RNA. The record is from RefSeq and is a predicted model, not a curated record. Lineage: Eukaryota; Viridiplantae; Streptophyta; Magnoliopsida; Poales; Poaceae.